CCUACGGGAGGCAGCAGUGGGGAAUAUUGGGCAAUGGAGGAAACUCUGACCCAGCAACGCCGCGUGAAUGAUGAAGGUCUUCGGAUUGUAAAGUUCUUUUCUAAGGGAAGAAGAAAGCGACGGUACCCUAGGAAUAAGCCUCGGCUAACUACGCGACAGCAGCCGUAGUAAUACGUAGGAGGCGAGCGUUAUGCGGAAUGACUGGGCGUAAAGGGUGCGUAGGUGGUUUGGCAAGUUAGUAGCGUAACUCCAAGGCUCAACCUUGGAACUACUUCUAAAUCUGUUGGACUUGAGUGCAGGAGAGGCAACCGGAAUUCCUAGUGUAGCGGUGGAAUGCGUAGAUAUUAGGAGGAACACCAGUGGCGAAGGCGGGUUACUGGACUGUAACUGACGCUGAGGCACGAAAGCGUGGGGAGCAAACAGGAUUAGAUACCCCAGUAGUC
Molecule: ribosomal RNA, 443 nt
Filed under: uncultured bacterium
Lineage: Bacteria
Description: partial 16S ribosomal RNA
Rfam family: Bacterial small subunit ribosomal RNA
Source: RNAcentral